AUGUUCAUUGGUCUAUUUUCUGCCAAUGCAUCAAGCUCGACCAUCGGCACAGAAGAUCAAAUGAGCAAGCUGUUUUGCCCGGCGAUGGCAAUGAUUUGUCCGAAGAUGGCGGCGAAAGCAGUAGUACGUUGCAUUUUAUCUCUUAUAUUCAGGGUCUUGUUUGUAAAAAGAAAGGAUGUGAUUAUAAUAUUUUUUUAUUUGAUUAUCUUUUUUGUAGUGUUGUAUCACCUUUUGAUAUUACAACAGCCUCGGGGACCUUCUGGUCCCUUCCUGUGUUAUAAAGGAAAAAAAGUCCAGCACGUGGUGCAACCAAUGAAUUAUUUGGCGUGUUGUUCUUGGUCACGUAUGCAUUUGCAUGGCGCCCAUUCGACUGACAAAAGAUAG
RNAcentral lists this ribosomal RNA (384 nucleotides) under Triticum aestivum (bread wheat). RNAcentral's name for it is "partial small subunit ribosomal RNA". The record is from RNAcentral. Lineage: Eukaryota; Viridiplantae; Streptophyta; Magnoliopsida; Poales; Poaceae.